GACGAACGCUGGCGGCGUGCUUAACACAUGCAAGUCGAACGGAAAGGCCCUGCUUUUGUGGGGUGCUCGAGUGGCGAACGGGUGAGUAACACGUGAGUAACCUGCCCUUGACUUUGGGAUAACUUCAGGAAACUGGGGCUAAUACCGGAUAGGAGCUCCUGCUGCAUGGUGGGGGUUGGAAAGUUUCGGCGGUUGGGGAUGGACUCGCGGCUUAUCAGCUUGUUGGUGGGGUAGUGGCUUACCAAGGCUUUGACGGGUAGCCGGCCUGAGAGGGUGACCGGCCACAUUGGGACUGAGAGACGGCCCAGACUCCUACGGGAGGCAGCAGUGGGGAAUAUUGCACAAUGGGCGGAAGCCUGAUGCAGCAACGCCGCGUGCGGGAUGACGGCCUUCGGGUUGUAAACCGCUAUCGCCUGUGACGAAGCGUGAGUGACGGUAAUGGGUAAAGAAGCACCGGCUAACUACGUG
RNAcentral lists this ribosomal RNA (468 nucleotides) under uncultured bacterium. Its description in RNAcentral is "partial 16S ribosomal RNA". It matches the Rfam family "Bacterial small subunit ribosomal RNA", at positions 28 to 507 of the family's 1533-position model. The record is from RNAcentral.